Molecule: ribosomal RNA, 119 nt
Filed under: Pteropus alecto (black flying fox)
Lineage: Eukaryota; Metazoa; Chordata; Mammalia; Chiroptera; Pteropodidae
Source: RNAcentral
GUCUAUAGCUAUGCCACCUCGAACAAGCCUAAUCCCAUCUGAUCUUAGAAGCUAAGGAAGGUUGGACCUGGUCAGUACUUGGAUGGGAGACCACCUAGGAGGACCAAGUGCUAUAGGCA